UACGUAGGGUGCGAGCGUUAAUCGGAAUUACUGGGCGUAAAGCGUGCGUAGGCGGUUCGUUAAGUUCGUUGUGAAAGCCCCGGGCUCAACCUGGGAAUGGCAAUGGAAACUGGCGGGCUGGAGUAUGGCAGAGGGGGGUGGAAUUCCGCGUGUAGCAGUGAAAUGCGUAGAGAUCAUGAGGAAGACCAGUGGCGAAGGCGGGUCUCUGGACAGUUCCUGACACUGAGACACGAAGGCCAGGGGAGCAAACGGG
Molecule: ribosomal RNA, 253 nt
Filed under: uncultured bacterium
Lineage: Bacteria
Description: partial 16S ribosomal RNA
Rfam family: Bacterial small subunit ribosomal RNA
Source: RNAcentral